Molecule: non-coding RNA, 94 nt
Organism: Termitomyces sp. Mi166#008
Lineage: Eukaryota; Fungi; Basidiomycota; Agaricomycetes; Agaricales; Lyophyllaceae
Source: the annotation of a GenBank genome assembly
UCCCCCUUAGCUCAGUGGUAGAGCGCGUCACUAGUAUCCGCUUUUCCAAGCUCCGUUCAUGACGAGGUCAGUCGUUCAAGUCGGCUAGGGGGAA